Long non-coding RNA from Zeugodacus cucurbitae (melon fly), 1808 nucleotides. RefSeq lists it as uncharacterized. The transcript is spliced from 3 exons. Lineage: Eukaryota; Metazoa; Arthropoda; Insecta; Diptera; Tephritidae. The record is from RefSeq and is a predicted model, not a curated record.
AUCACAAUCACUGUGCUCCUCGGCUUCCACGCAUCUUCGCUGCUGCUGUUGACCAAUAAUGCCCUACCCGAAUAUUAUUCCCCUAAGGUAUCGAAGAACGAUAAAUGUUGCGAUGCGCGCUCAACCUAAGACAAAGGAAUUCUAAAUCUCGCACGGGCAACGUUCUAGUCAAAACAUCCAUGCUCUUGCUGUAGUAUUUCCAUUAAACUAAUUUCGGUGAAUCCAUGUCCUUGUAAAGCGAUGGCACGUCCAACUGAGGGGCCGGUAAUUCUAAAAAUACUGCAACUGCUUUGCCCUCUAGCUCAUGUUGAUAAACGGUUACAAAAUCACCUAAACAAUUUCGUUUCAGUUCUUCCCGGGCUUGUGUUGAGCAAAAGGUUUAAACGUAAAAAAGUGACAUUAAACAUAAUAUUUGGUGUGUAAAUGAUUUGUGUUCGAUGUAGCAGCGUUUGCAUCCAUAGUUCUGGAUUUGCUUGCAGCACAUAUACCAUCGAUUCGAAAGUUCUACGCUGCUACCAUAAGUGACCCAAUUAGGUUGCGUACCUUUAACGCGCCGCAUGAGGUUUGAAAUAUCUGUAUGGAAAAUUUUAGAAUUUAAGGCAAGAUAAUAUUAUUAUAUUCAAUCCGCAUGAGGUUUGAAAUAUCUGUAUGGAAAAUUUUAGAAUUUAAGGCAAGAUAAUAUUAUUAUAUUCAAUCCGCAUGAGGUUUGAAAUAUCUGUAUGGAAAAUUUUAGAAUUUAAGGCAAGAUAAAAUUAUUAUAUUCAAAAAUUAUUUACGUAUUCAAUGGUUUCGCCCUUGAUGUUGACGAUUGUUGGCGUAGCUUCUAUUGCGUGCUUCGAAUUGACAAUGCAAUGAAGUAUUACUGUAUCACCCUCUUCAAUUCCAUAUUUUGGCUUUAGAAAACUUUUAUUUUACGUUUUUAAAAUGCGUGCUUCAAUAAUUUAAACUUUAAUUAGGCUACAGAUCACUGAUUUAAAUAAAACAGGCAAAAUAAUACUUCACAAGCAGCCAUGAUAUAGCUCAAAACAAAACUUGUUCAAACACGAGAACUUUGGUUGUUUCUUUCUAUCAUUCAGGGUGCUGUACGAAAGAAGAGUUGAGGUAAAUGUUUCUGCACAUUUCGCCCUUUGUUGCAUAUGUGUGUAUGUAGUGGUGUUAUAAAAAUUUCUUUGAAUGUAUUGGAGUUUCAGUACCCAUGACUUGCUGGGUAGAAGAAAUUAGAAUUGACAAGCGAUAUUGAUAAAUUGCCAGAUGUAUCUAGACAUUGAUAUUCGUAGUUGCCGGAAUGUUCGAGUGACGAUAACAUGCUAGCAAUCGACUAUAUAAGGGCUGCCGGGCUGGCAGCAAGACACAGUUCUGAUAAGAGAGUUGUCGAGUGAGGACAAUUCUAAGGAAGAAAUUAGAAACACAUGUGGGCAGUUCCUUUGGCACCCAGGAGCCAUCAGAUUGGCAGUAGCGUUCAUGUUUACCCACCAACUCAUAGGUAUUACCACAGUUGUAACUAAUUUUACAACCGAAAGUGUAGCAUUCACCAGCAUGCCAGCCGUAUGCUGGAUCUGGCGGCUGUCCACAUGAUCUUGCUGUAAAAUGGAGACAUUUCACAUAUAAAUAUUCAAAUUCUUUAAUAAUUUAUAUAAGACAUUACGUUCGCAUUGUAUAUCCGGUCCAUACCAGCUAGCCUGUCCAUCAAUGGCUAGGCAUUUAGCGCGUGGAAAUCCAUUUGUAACAUAGCCAGUAUGACAGUGGUAUUGCACGGUAGAGUCUAGAUCAAAAGUCUCCUGUUCGGGUAGCGCUGAAUGGCGUGCAUG